This 497-nucleotide ribosomal RNA is filed under the name uncultured bacterium. RNAcentral's name for it is "partial 16S ribosomal RNA". It matches the Rfam family "Bacterial small subunit ribosomal RNA", at positions 28 to 507 of the family's 1533-position model. The record is from RNAcentral.
GAUGAACGCUGGCGGCGUGCCUAAUACAUGCAAGUCGAGCGAACAGACGAGGAGCUUGCUCCUCUGACGUUAGCGGCGGACGGGUGAGUAACACGUGGAUAACCUACCUAUAAGACUGGGAUAACUUCGGGAAACCGGAGCUAAUACCGGAUAAUAUAUUGAACCGCAUGGUUCAAUAGUGAAAGACGGUUUUGCUGUCACUUAUAGAUGGAUCCGCGCCGCAUUAGCUAGUUGGUAAGGUAAAGGCUUACUAAGGCGACGAUGCGUAGCCGACCUGAGAGGGUGAUCGGCCACACUGGAACUGAGACACGAUCCAUACUCCUACGGGAGGCAGCAGUAGGGAAUCUUCCGCAAUGGGCGAAAGCCUGACGGAGCAACGCCGCGUGAGUGAUGAAGGUCUUCGGAUCGUAAAACUCUGUUAUUAGGGAAGAACAAAUGUGUAAGUAACUAUGCACGUCUUGACGGUACCUAAUCAGAAAGCCACGGCUAACUACGUG